UAACGUUAGACUCGCACACUUUUGGUUAUUUAAAUCUCAGUUUCUUCACUCCUUCUCAACAUUAUCGACGAAUUUUGGUUCCAGUUGAGAACAGUGAAAUGGUUGAUUUGGACAACUGGCUAAAAACAAAUAGAGAGUUAGUGCUGGAAAAUUCUUUGAAGUCUUUGGGGAGAACA
Leptinotarsa decemlineata (Colorado potato beetle) is the source of this 176-nucleotide long non-coding RNA. NCBI's taxonomy places the organism in Eukaryota, Metazoa, Arthropoda, Insecta, Coleoptera, Chrysomelidae. The record is from RefSeq and is a predicted model, not a curated record.